AUAGCAAUAGCUACUUGCAUCAUUAGUAAAUAUGAUGCAAGAUCGACUAUGUCGAAUAAAAUUCUAGGUAGAAUUAUGAUAAUGACAUUGUCUGCCUAUGUGUCUUGACCAAAUUACGUGCCAGCAGUCGCGGUAAUACGUAGAAGACUAGUGUUAUUCAUGUUUAAUCGGUUUAAAGGGUACCUAGACGGUAAAUCAAGCCUAAAAGGAAAUAAAUGAAGGGACUAAUUUACUAGAGUUACUUAUGAGGGGGUAUUAAAGUACUGCUGGUGUAGAGAUGAAAUUCUGUCAUACCUCUUUUCAAUAGAAAAACAAUGGCACAGGUAUAGGCGAAAGCAUCCCCUUAUGUGAUAACUGACGUUGAGGGACGAAGGCUUUGUGUAGCGAACAGGAUUAGAUACCCCAGUAGUCAAAGCAGAAAAUGAUGAAUGUCAUAGAUUAGAUAUAUAAAUUUAUUCUAUAAAUGAAAGUGUAAGCAUUCCACCUCAAGAGUAAUUUGGCAACAUUGGAACUGAAAUCAUUAGACCGUUUCUGAAACCAGUAGUGAAGUAUGUUGUUUAAUUUGAUGAUCCGCAAAAAACCUUACCACAAUUUGAAUAUUUAUAUCUUUUAUUGUUUUUCUUUUUAACUUUCUUCUGAUUUUCUACUUAAAAGAAAACAAUAACAAGAAAAAAGAGGCAAUAAGAUAUAUUUACAAGCGUUGCACGGCUGUCUUCAGUUAAUGUCGCGAGACUAUGGUUAGUUCCAUUAAAUUAACGUAAACCCUUACUUUAUUUUUAUAUAGAGUAGUUCCCCGCUAUAUUGGAUAUGAUAACAGGGACUAAGACAAGUCAUCAUGGCCUAAAUAUUGU
This 851-nucleotide ribosomal RNA is filed under the name Tuckermannopsis chlorophylla. Its description in RNAcentral is "SSU rRNA". It matches the Rfam family "Bacterial small subunit ribosomal RNA", at positions 372 to 1210 of the family's 1533-position model. Lineage: Eukaryota; Fungi; Ascomycota; Lecanoromycetes; Lecanorales; Parmeliaceae. The record is from RNAcentral.